Molecule: non-coding RNA, 15820 nt
Organism: Podarcis lilfordi (Lilford's wall lizard)
Lineage: Eukaryota; Metazoa; Chordata; Lepidosauria; Squamata; Lacertidae
Source: the annotation of a GenBank genome assembly
GGUGCCUGGACUCCUUCGGUUCCAAUCUGUCUGUGAAAUCAACGUAGUGGUGUGACAGAAAGUCUUCCUAUGGCUGCAGCAGGAUUGAAACCGAGCAUGAGACAAGCCGAUUCUGUGAUGCUAUUCUAGGGAGAGGGUCUUAGCAGCAGCCAUCUUUGGGGUGCCAAGUUUACCCCAUAUAGCAACCCCAAGAAGCAAAACAGUGGAUGCCUGAAGCAUAAAGGACAAAGAUGAGCCUUGCUGAAAGCUUUCCCCUCAGAAACAGCCCCAGGUAAGAAAUGAGAAAAUGGUUGGGGAAGGAGGGGGAGGCUAGUUUCUGCACGGAGACAAAGAUUCCUGCUUCAGAUCUUGCAGUAGAGUUUUUCUAAAUGCAGUAGCUGCGUGAGUUUGUAUGUUUUAUUUAUUUAUUACAUUCCUCUCCCCACCCCAGGAGUUCAGAGUGGCAGACACUGUUCUCCCCACCCCCCAUCCUCCAAAUUUUCUCUCACAACAAUCUUGUAAACUACAUGAAACUGAGAGAGAGAGAAAGAGUAGCCCACUAGGUUUUAAAGCUGAGUGUGGAUUGGAACCCAGGUCUUCCUGGCCCUACUCUGACACUAACCACCAUGCUAGCUCUCAUUAAAAUCUGAAACUUUAAAACAAGCAACAAAACCAUGUCCAAAUGGCACAUACAAACUGCACAAUCAGAAGAAAAACAGCAGCAGCAGCAGGGAAUCAGCUGCAAGAAGAAAAAACCUCAGGACCAAACCACAUGUUACAUUCAAAAGAAAUUUCCUCUUAAGUGUAGAAUUUUCCUUUCGCAAAGAUCAGGAUCCUAAUACUGAGCAGGAAGAAGCGGCAAUUAAUCUUUGCUCUGCUUUGGACUCAAUCAAGAAUGGGCUUGAUCUCAGAUAAUGGGAGGGAGGUGGUGGCAGGGCACAGUGGGGGAAGAGAUAUCUCUCUUAUACCCGCCAACAUUUCUCUGAUGAAAAUAGGGACGUCCCAUUCCAUAAUGAUAACUUUACUAUUUCUACCCCACACAUCUUACUGGGUUGCCCCACCCACUCUGAGCAGCUUCCAACGUAUCUAGAAACAUAAUAAAACAUUUUUAAAAAACCUUCCCUAUACAGGAUUGCCUUAAGACGGCUCAGGGGUCAGAUAACCCCAUACCCUCCAACAUUUCUCCUAUGAAAAUAGGGACUUCCUAAGAAAAAGUAAAACACUCCAGGAUCAAAUCAGAAACUGGGGUGGCUUCUCUAAACCAGGGAGGUCCCUAGAAAGUAGGCACACUUGGCAGGUCUGAUUAUCUGUUCAAUCCUAGUCCAGAUUGGAAGGAAAAUCCUUCAUUAAAGGCAAGCCAUGUGAUUAACCCAACACAUAGUUUGGCCCACUGUUUGAUUUAGGGAAAAUAAAAAGUUAUUUGGCAUCAAAGAUAUCUUCUUCUUCUUUGGCGAUCCCUCGUAACCGAGUAAGAUUGUCUUCCAUAAACACGGUUUUAACAAUGAGUCCGUAAGUGACCGUGGAAGCCAAUUCUGGAUCCACACGUCCUUCCACAGUUGGGACAUUGGUUUCCGGGCGGGAGUUGAUCACGGUGUGGAUUUGCCAUGCAUGCCUUCCUCCUAGCACGUUUCUCCCUUGCGUCCUGAGUUCGAGUGUCUUCAAUGCCCAUGACGCCUUUGGUAAAGGCUGUUCUUUAACUGGAGUGCUCACAGGCCAGUGUUUCCCAGUUGUCAGUGUUUAUACUACAUUUUUAAAUAUAUGCCUUGAGACAGUCUUUAAACCUCUUUUGUUGACCACCAGCAUUACGCUUUCCAUUUUUAAGUUUGGAAUAGAGUAGUUGCUUUGGGAGACGAUCAUCAGGCAUCCGCACAACAUGACCAGUCCAACAAAGUUGAUGUUGAAGAAUCAUUGCUUCAACACUGGUGAUCUUUGCUUCUUCCAGUACACUGAUAUUAGUUCGCCUGUCUUCCCAAGAGAUGUGUAAAAUUUUUCGGAGACACUGUUGAUGGAAUCUUUCGAGGAGCUGGAGAUGGCAUUUAUAAGUGGUCCAUGUUUCACAAGCAUAUAGUAAAGUUGGUAGUACAAUAACUUUGUAAACAAGCAUUUUGGUUUCUCUGCGAAUGUCCCGGUCCUCAAACACUCUACACUUCAAUCUAGGCGAUGCUGGAUUUCGGCAUCAAUGUUGGGCUUUGUGGAAAGAUAACUGCCUAGGCAAGAGAAAUGAUCGACAUUUUCCAACGUUACACCACUGAGUUGGAUUUGUGGCGCUGCAGAGGGGUUAUUUUGUAUUUGUUGGUGCAGCACUUUGGUUUUUUGGAUGUUGAGUGAUAGGCCAAGCUUUUCAUAAGCUUCUGCAAAGAUAUUUAGGAUGGUUUGGAGGUCAACCUCUGAGCGUACACCACUACGUUGUCAUCAGCAUACUGAAGCUCUAUGACGGAAGAUAUAUAUGAGGCCCUCUCUGCAAUUGUCACCCACCUAACAUCAGAAACACAAAGAUCUUAAUGCACAGGAAAGUAGACAUGAGAAAAGACAACUUUUAGAUAUCCAGGAGGGCCUGAGCUGCCACAAACUUUAAUGAUAAGCAUUAGCACCCUGAACUGAUUUGGGAAGCACCUCAUCAGGUUCUGUUUCAGAACAGAACCAUGGUUUUGAGCUUUCAUUAUUUACCGGUAAUGAAGUUUGUAAUAACCAUGAUUGGUCAAUAUUUUUGGUACCUGUGUUUUUACUUUUUAAUGGGAUGCAGGGAGGUUUGGAGAGGGGUGGGUGGUUGAUUGACAAGCAUGGAAAUAAAGCACUGUUGUUAUAAACCUAAUGCAACUAACUGUGCAAUCCUAUAUGUGCCAGCUCAGUAACAGCAGAGUCCUAUGCAUGCCUGCUCAAAAGUAAGUCCUAGGUAUGUGUGAAUAAGAUUGCAGCCUAAAAAGCUGAAUCCCUAUCAUGCACCAGAACAGCAAUAAGGUAGGUGUUUUGUGAGCCUCUCUAAGGAAAGUGUUCCACAGUUACCAGUCAGUGGGAAUCCCAUAUAGAGAGAGUGCUGUUGCACUCAGUUCCUGCUUGAGGGCUUCACACAGGUUGGACACUUGUAAAUACAGACUGCUGGACAAGAUGGGCCUUAUGCUCUUUGCUGGGGUGUCACCACCAAGAAGGCCCUAUCUUCUGUAACUACCCAUCUCAUUUCAUUUGGUGAGGGUACUGGUAGGAAGCCCUCUACAGAAUUUCUUGAUGUAUAGACAGGAAAAUAUCAAAAGGUACUUAGUCCUAAAUCACAAAGGGCUUUAAAGGAAAAUGAGCACAUUGAAUUAGAUUCAAAACCGGACUGGGAGUCUGGUCAGCAUAAUAUUGUCAUAGUCCCAGAAAAAAAUCCUUUUUAAAAGGCUCUGAUGGAUCACAGACUUUCAGUGGUAUCACUGGUCAUUUAGUUAAAGCCUUGAUGAAGCAGUUCCCCCUAUUAUUAUUAUUACUUUAUUGGGUUUUAUUGUAAUUAUUACGAUACCUGCCCCUUCCUCCAACACAAAUGUAAAAACUGUCUACACACCCCAGCUCUGCUACCCCACCUCCCUCACUCAGAUGGCCACAAAGACCAUCUACCAUCCUAGCUGCUUAGGGCAAGGUAGUUAAAUGGGAAUCAUGUUCCCUGGUUUGUUUGUGGGGUUUCCCCCAACCUUGUAGGGACUACAGAUAAACAGUUGUCUGAAGGAUUCCAUUACAUUUCAGAUUUAGUUGCGUGAAUUAUUCGCACCCACCCACCCAAAUUUGUUGCCCAUUGUUUUUCCACAAUAAACAACACCCUCCAAUCAGAUAUUAAACAGAUAAAUAACCAUGUGAUUUUUAAAAGACUUCUGAAAGCAGCCCUGUACAGUAUAGGGAAGUUUUAAAUGAUCUGUGAUUUAUUGUGUUUUUAAUAUUUUGUUGGGAGCCGCCCAAAGUGGCGGCGUGUAAAUAAUAAAAUCAUCAUCAUCAUCAUCAUCAUUAUAAAUCAUCAUAAAUAAGAAAAUUGUUGUUGUUCAACCUCUCCCAUUUUUAACCAGGGCAGGUGACAUCACAGCUCUUAGUUAUUCUCUCUGCCGACAUUCCUUGGGAUGUCUCGCAUGGGAUGUCUCUAUUUUCACCAUUCUUGAAAAUAGAGCCCUAUUCUCAAAAGCAGGAGAUGGAAGAGGGAAGGUUGUGUCUGGAUAGUGGCUCUUCAGACUGAAGAUGGAGAGUCAGGUGACUGAGUAGUCUUCCAUAUUAAAAAAUAGUAAGAAUCCUGAACAUACAAAAUGAUAGGUCAGUGAACAGCAUUGUAGCUUAGCCGUUUCACCAGUGUGUUAGUUUUCUGUGGGAUGGGUUCUGGCUCUUACUCUCCCCACCCCCCAUUCCUUCAUGUAAGAUGCCAUCUGCCAUGCAAAGUGGUACAAUCCAGACCCAGCUUUAUUAACUCAUCUGCUCAUUGUGAAAGCUAGGCCAUAGCUAGGAGUACCCAAUCCAUGUAUUGCCAUCUACCCUGGCUAUAAAAUCUCAAUGAAAUAAAACCUCUAGUAGACAUUGGAAAUAUGUUGCUUUAACCAUUCUGAAUGUUAAACCUCAUAAAUUUAAUACACCUGCAGAGUUAUUGUGGGAAUAAAACUGAAUAACUCUUUGUACAUUGUCUGAAGAGAUAAAAGGAGAAAUUGGGAAGGUCCUUAGGAAAGCAUUUCUGGGGGAACACUGUAUGUGGAGUAGGUGUUGUCUUCUCCUGUUGGGUUCCUUCCAGCAACGCGACAUGGAUCUCUGCAGUCUUCCCUUUUCCAAUAAAAAAAUUGUAGCUUAUGGAGGGGGCUGUUAGAUGGGUUCAGUAGAGGCUGUAUGUAGAAAUUUAUGUAGAAUAUUGUGGCUUUAUCUCAAAAGUUCUGAACAAAUGGACUUUGAAACAGCAAAGCACUACGAUGAUGACAACAUUGAUCCAGUUCAGGACCCUAUUUGGCACCUCAGAUCACAUUCAAUCCAAGUAGACCUGGGCCUGACUUUGAAACUAACUGGGGGCCUUCCAUGUUCCUAAGAUUAAAUAGGUGUUUAAACCCUAGUUAAACAUGUGAUUGGUUAGUGAGGGGGGAAGGAGAAGUGAGAGUCUCUGCCUGCAUUGCCUUCUCCCUCUCUUUGCUGUCAACUCCAUGUUGAAAUAGGGAUUCAAGUCCUGAUUAAAGCUGACCACCACUGACCCACACUUUGAUAUACCCGUAUCACUCUGGAAAUCAACGGCUGCUUCAACCUGUUCCAGGCAAAUUCUGGAUUGACUUGGAUCAGCCCAAUUCAGUUCAGGAUCCAGGAUUUGUCCAGAGCUGGUGCACAGCUGUGUUAUUUACCAACCCACAAAUGCAGUUUAUUCUGCAUUUGAAAAUUAUCGAAUUUCAGUGAAAUUCUCAUUCACAGGGUGCAGGAUUUUUGCGGUGCUUACCUUAAUGGUUAAAGGCUUUCAGUCUUUUCUCUCAUUGUGCAAAUCAUCCCCCUGGUGAUUUGCUCUCUGCAGCCUACCCAGGUGCAACCUCUGUGAUAUCCUAGGCUGGACCUUCAUGUAAGCACAAAAUACUAGGGAGGCUGCCUGCUUUGUGCCUGACCACUGUUUGUUGUUGAGGAGUUUGAGAUGAAGCAUUUCCAUUAAAAGCAUUUUAACUUUUGAAGAAAUAAAUUCAGAAAGAUUUUUUAAAAAAAGAAAUAGGAAGCAUUUCCAUUAAAAGCAAAACCAGGACCAAGCCUCCCCAGAUUCCCACACAUCCAUUAAAUCCUGCAAGUAGAUUUCAUGGGGCUUUUUUCAGAUGAUGAAACAUGGGCACCUGGGGAGGCUGAAGAGCACUGGAUAAACGUUUAAUGUGGGGUGGGGAGGACACAUGCACCAUCCUCGACAACCUUGUAACAGUAAGGUAAACUUAUUCCUGUAUCCAAAAUGAUAAAGAAAUGAUAAAACACAGAGGAAGAAGUAUUUUAAAAAAAAUGGAAAGCAGGUUUCAGUAUAGCAGCAGCAGCUUAUUGCCUCGUUACAGUUAUCUGGCAGAUAGGCUUAAAUGGUUGCAAGCUCUCUGUGUUUUGAAAGUUUAAAAUAGUUCCCUCUGGGUUUUUGAUGCCAACUCUCUCAAUUUUCAUCCGCUGACCUACUUAUGACCUUUGAUGCCUCACAUGGUUAACAGAAAGCAAGAGAUGUGAUUAAUUGAUUAGGAGGUGAGUAUAUCAAAGGGACAAAGAAGAUUAACACUCAUGUAGGAGAUUGGUGGCUGCUUUUGAAAGAAGUAAAUAAAACUCCCAAAGGACAGAAGCGGUUGGCAGUUUUGCAAUGUGUAAUGAACAAAUUACACUUUCAGCUCAUAUUUCCUGUAGUGUGCCCUGUUGAUGAAAGGCCAAAAAAGUGACAACUUCCUAAUUAGUUAACUCUAGGUGACAAAUUAAAACUUUCAGAAUGAAGUCGGAGAGCAUGGAAGAUGAAGAAGAGUGGACAGAAUUGAUGAGAGGCUCUGAGAUCCAAUUCCUCACACAACUCAGUGAGGAAGAAUUACUACCUGCAGUGCACAGUCUUACUGCAGCUCUUCGGCUUUCAGUUCAUUGUCAAUACAUAAUUGUCAUAACAAAUACAAAGUACAAAAAUUAAUUCUUUAAAAAGUGAAAGAACUGGCAACACAAUGAGGAAUCAGACUUAGGGAUAAUAUCUAAAGUUAGAGGAGACACAUUAAAAUGAAUGGACACCUGUCAAUGGAUGUACUCUUAAUAUGAAAUGUAUAUCAUCCAAUAUGUUGUCAUUAAAUAAUAAUCUUAUUUUUUUAACUUUGCUUGUCCUUUCUUAAAGUUUUAUAUAAGUUGGAAGGUCAACUGAACUCAAAGAUACAAAUAUUUCCCCAGUUGUUAUUAGUGUGCAGGCGUUGGAUUUAAGUGGCUCUUACUGGCCUAGGUAAAUAUUAUAAAAUGGAAUUAAUGAUUAUCAACCUUUCCAGUGUUGUUUUUCUAGAAAAAGAGGUGCUGGAACUCACCACGAACACCCCCCUUGUUAUUUAGAAUGACAACGGCGCCCACUUUAUACCUCAAUUUUACAUGUGUUCAUUUAGGUCAGUUCCACCCUGCUUCUGCAUGGAUGAUUAUCUUUAAUCCAUAUAAAAAUGUAUACUUAAAUCAUAGAAUUGUAGGGUUGGAAGGGACCCCAAGGGUAAUUAGUCCAACCCCAUACAUUGAAGGAAUAAAUAUAUUUUCAAAUAUAUAUCUAAAUACCAGUAUAAAACAAAAUAGCAUUUUAUCUCAGCAUACACAUUUGCAAAGGUAUUGCAUUUUACCCUAAAAUUUGUAUUCUAUGGCAUCUUGGUAUCCCCCUCCCCUUUUAGCUGAGAACUGGAGAAGUGCAAAACUGGAAGGGUAAUUUUGUUCCCAGUGUUGUAUUAAUUUGGCAGGUGUGAAUGACAUCAGAGCCUCUUAAAGUGUGGACUGGGCAAAAUUCCAGUCCAUCCUUACUUACAGGUGACUUUUUAUUCAGCCCUGACCCACCAUUUGGAAAUCCCUGACUGGUGCAUGGUAAAAAUGAAGCACAUCUUUAAUCUUUACAUCCUUUUCACUUUGAAAUUUACACUAAGACAUGUUGAGCUAGAGGUAGGCUUAUUUCCCCUAAUCAAUAUCCCUGCAGCACGCUCUCCUUGCUUCAGACAUUUUAUGGGUUAUUCCUUUAAACCCUUUCAUCUUCCUCCUACAAAGAGGAUUCAAUUUAUCAAGUUACUACAAAGUACCAUGCAGAAUUUUUGUCAGACCAGCUGUAUGCAAUAAUUACAUGCUUCUUCCAUUGGAAACCAUGGCAACUAUCCAAUAACUAACACGAAAGAGAUACUGCAACAAAAUAUUUCUGGGAAUUGAUGGGAGAGUGGGUGGGGAGGAGGAGAAGGAAUUGACAUCCAUGGCAUAAGAACUAAGCAUUACACAUUCCUGGCACAAAUAAAUUCCUGUGGCCAAAACUGUGUACAAAUAUUUUAUGCUUGUAGAUUAAAUGAAAACGUUGUGCUACCAGCCACCCCAAUCUCUGUCAAGUGGUAGCAAGUUCCAGGGGUCUUGGCACUUAACCAGGGAUUGUGUUCCUUUGCAAUGAGGCAUGGUGGAGACUGUGGUGUCAUUAAGAUAUGUGGUUUAUUUACAUCUGAGUUUAGGUGGAGGGAGUUACACCACAAGGGUGCCUCUUGUUGUUCCUUGGAUAGCUUCAGCAAACAGAAGCCAGCCAUGCUCCUCAAUAUCUGUUUGCAGCCUCACCCAGUCAGCCCCACAUGGAGUUCCUGGCUCUCUCUUCUUCCCCCAAACCCUUGCUCCAACACAACUCAAGCCUUGUAUAAAAAGAGCAUCCUUCUUGUGGGGACAUCCUGCCCACUGUAACCUUGGCAACUUCCCCCUCACAACUUUGCUAUGUCUUUUACUGACUAACACACCAAUGGGGGAGGACCUCCGCCUCACUUCUUGUCUGAUGCUGAAUGUCUCACCUUUGUCAGGGUAAUGACUCUGCCAUCACCUGUCUUUGUUCUUUGAUGGCACCUCUCUAAGUAAAACGCCUGAGGAAGUUGGCUUCUUUUUUAGGCCUUGCUGAAUCCAUGCAUCAACCUCCACAUUGACUAAUUUUAGAAAUUAUGGGGAGUACCUGGCACCCAGUAAUUUUAGGGGGCCCUUGCUCCCUGCGACCCCCUAACAGCUGUUUUAGUGCAGCCAUCUUCUUGUGGUUAUAAACUUUGAAAGCUCAACCACUUCAGAAACUGCCAGUCUUUUCACACAGCAGGUCAGUCUAAGAUUAUGAACCUAGCAGAAAGCCGAGUAGGAAUCACCAUCAAAAUAGAUGUUAUACUUGUCAAUUGUUCAUAAAACAUGGCUUAGCGUGGUGGGAAUGACUUUCUGCAAGCCUUGGCUUUGUAUUCCCCACUCCCCUACCUUUUUCUGAUGUAGUAGCAAAGAGAAGUUUUUGAUUCUCUUUUAUUCACCGAGGCUUGUCAUGUCAUCCGAACCUGGAUAAUCUUAACAAUGGUUUGUCUAAAACAAGGCAACUUCAAAUCAUAACUUCUAAAGCUGACUUGUUUCCACAAACAACAGUUAAUAUUAAUCACAAUUGCUGCACUUUAAACUUAAUUAACCGCAGUGAAUCAAACAUGGAAGCUCCUGAACUCCUCCUCACAGCCACACUGGUGGAGGAAAGAGAAGGCAUGAGCCCAAGGUUUGUAUUGUAAUAGUAAUAAGAAAUAUGAAAGGUGAUGAAGUUAAAGAUACUAUUAAUAUGAAACAAUUAUAAAAUGAGAACAGUAUCUGUUAAUAUUAAGAGAAUGAUCAUUAUAGUUUUUGAUCCCAACUGUGAUUGCAGCAGCAUCCAUUGAUUUUUUUAGUGUUAUUGGAUCACUGCCAUUUGGGGGAAAUUAUUUUAAUGCUUUUGUAAACAAGAGCACAGAGCCAAGAGAAUAGCUGUAUUUGUUUUACUGACACGGGCUCAACUGCCUCAUUUCAGCCCUGCUCUUCAAAUUAAAAUUUGGAUUGGGUCCAAGGUAGCCAACCUGCCAACUUAAGGCUCACUCCCACUAUUGAGAACCAUUCAACGCUGGUAAUGCAAAGAUUGUAAGCAUCACUGUCACAAGCAGGUGUGCUGUAUUGUGCCAAGGGGAGUUUGUGUUUUGAAACAGGGAGAACGGGACUGCAAGCUCGGCAAGUAAAAUUGAUUGUUUCCUAGCACUUAGCUUCUGUACAGCUCAUUUGUCUUCAAGUAGAUCAACUGUGUAGGAAAAUCAAAGGCGCCAUUCGAUGCCACGGUUAAUUUGCAAAGGGGACAAAAGUUGAACUUGAGCCACAAGCUUUGCAAGUUCAACAUUCUGGUCUGGAAGCCCAGCUCUCAGUGAAGGUGGCCACCAAAUAAAAGGACAACAGAGGAAACCAAUUUGCAUAGAAUCUGCCCAGGAGCAAAUUUUAAAAUAAUUACUAUCGUUUAAAUAGAACAACAAGCCUCUCACUAUAGUGGGCAACCUCAAGACUCCUUCUCUCCCUCCCUUCCUUCCUUCCUUCCUUCCUUCCUAACUUCCUCUUUCUUUCUUUUUCUUUUUAAAAAUCAAAUUGUUAUUAAGCUUUCAACAACAAAAAUACAGUAAAGGUCAAACUAAUCUAAGAGAAGGGAAGAAUAAAGAAAGAGCAAUAGGAAGUAUGAAAGAAAGAAAGAAAGGAAAGAAAGUAAGAAAGAAGAACAGAAAGGAAAGUUGCGUGUCAAGGUCCCCAAGCCACCCCCCAAUAAUUCACACAUCACACAUCAAUUUUGGUUUGGGUUUUUGGCACGAUUUGGGCCACAACUUUAUUUAAAUACACACAAGUGAGUGGUUGCUUAGGCAUUGGUUCCGACUAUCUGUCCUUGCCCAGGGACAGAACUGACUUCCGGAUUCCAGCGGAAGCCAGUGAGGGAAGCAAUUUUCGGGAGAAAAUGAAGCUGGGCCUCAGUCCCUCACUUCUCACCCUCAUGCUCCUGGUGGCUUGCACGGCCCAAGUCUGAUGCCAGGGACAAGGAUGAAAAGAAUGACAAGCCCCUGGAUUCCUUUAAUGGAAUUCCCUUUCCGCACCAGCAUUGGAGGGGUAGGCACUUACCCCUCCACCAACCAAUUUGAACCAAUGCCUAACCGCCAACCUUACAAGUUGUGACGAUUUGCUACGCAGUAGGCAAAAACCAAAUGGCACCAGCCAAUCAGCUAAAUGGACAAAAUUCCUACCAGGCCCCUGCCUCAAAGCAGACGACCCCAUGACAGGCAUAGCAAGGUCAAGUGAGCAACCCCCCCCCAAUACAGGGAGGAUGGGCAGCUGAUCCGGUGCAAGCAGCCAAGAGGACGCCCAAAGUGGUGCGUCCAAUAUUUAAAACCUCUGACCCCUCCUUCAAAAUUGGCAACAAGCAAUUCUCCCCAGCGACCCAAUUAACCAAUUCGCUGCCUGGGUCACUCCGCAAAUCCGCCCAGCAACACUGGGGUGGCUUGUAUCCCCCACCGCAACACGUGCUCUCUGCUAGGGAGAACACGUUGAAAUGGUAAAAAGGACUUCCAACUAUCCAUCUCUGUUAUAUAUACAAUAGCUCUUCAAAAUAGUCAAAUGUUCAGUCCAAAUUAGUAUUGCUCCACCUCUGCUAGGUGAUUUUCCAGUCUUCAUUCCGAGGUGCUUCAGUUCAUUUAAUUCUUUCAGUGCAAGACGUCCAAGGAAAGUUUUACAAAUAAAAUUAUAAUACUCUACAAUAGUUCUCCUCCUCUCCAGCAUCACAACAUUUCCUCAAGUAUUAGGAAAUGUUCAAUCUGUCUUUUUCCUCCAAGACUUCUUCACUGUGUUUUUGUAUUAGAGCAUCAGUCCAUAAUUAUUUGAUUAUUAUACAGUCGUCAAUCCACACCCAAAUCUAUCUAUCCCAUGUCAACCAUACUUCUCUGCCCUUAUCUUUCCUACUUUCCAUCUUCUGUUUUUCCAUUCUUUUACCAGAGUUACUGAAAGAAGCUUGCCAUCUAUUUCUUUCAAAUUCAAUCCAACUUGUACACAGAUUUGUCCCCCCCCCCCAAUGCUUUCUGUUUCAAUUCAGAGCAUUUUUUGUCAUUCCAUCCCUAUCUGCUGCUCUCACUUGCUUAAUCAGACGUGGACUGGACAACCCUUCAGACAGAAGAUCCUCAAGCUCUUUGACCAGAGAAUUGUCUUUUGUACUGUAGUACAUAUAGUCAUUAUAUCUGCAGUUAUAGUGGAUGAUGGGCUUAAAUCCCUGCAUGUUUCACUCUUGAUUGCUACAAAGAAUUCCACCUAUGUAAUAUUCUCUGUGGGCAUGGCUACCUUCCUAUACAUAUGACACCUGGAAGAACUAUAUCAAUUUAUUCACUGGAGAGAGCGCAAAACAAGUUUUUGUGCAGACUCUUGUCAGUCCCUACCUCUACAAAAAUAACACCACUCUGUGCAGAACUGGCUGUAAUGCCCAUUAAAGCUGAAGCCCUCAGACUAGCUCUGCUUUUUUGGUUUAAAACUACUUUUAAGCAUGUAUCAGAAUCCCUCGUGACAAUUUGGGAAGACAUGACCCCAAACUCAUGGAAUCAUGAAAUGCAAUCUGCUGCCAUGAGGUUAGGACUCUCUGCUUCCUUUCUUGUGACGCAGGGUUUUGAGGAAAGCUAAAGAAUUAAUACUCCAAAGGUUUCAAGGCGCCGAGAUGCAAUCACAAACUGCUGAGAUCAAGAUCUGCCAAUCGAACAAAUUGUAUGCUUUUUUUAUUCCAUUGUACCCAUCCCUGCCAAGAUAUCUAGCAGAUUUGCCCAAUGUUAAAAUGAGGGCAGCCUUUACUCAGGCAAGACUGAAUGUCCUUCCGUUAGCAGAUUGAACUGUAUGACAUAAAGGAGUUCCUAAGGAGGACAGAGUUUGCCAGUGCAACUCACUGUCUAUAGAAGACAUAACUCACGUACUCCUCCAAUGCCCUUUUUAUAACUAUCUUAGAAACGAUUACAUCCAUCCAUUGUUAAGAUUGCAGAAGGGAAGGACAUCUCUUGCAAAGACCUGUUUUUUUGCUGUCUGAUGUGGAGAGGUAUAUAUCCUUUCGAGCAUCCAAAUUUCUUGCAAAGGCUUUACAAAUUUGUGUAAUAAAAGGGGGAAUGGGAAAUGAUUUAUCCUGUAAAGGUCGGGGAGUAGAAAUGUCAGCCACUAUUCGUAGUUGAAUUCUUGUUAUUAUUUUCAUGUGUGUAAUGGCUGUUCACUAGAGACAAUAAAUUGAACUGAACUGAACUGUAUAAUUUUACAUAUGGUUUUAGUAAUAGUUUGAUAUUUGCUAGGGUGAUGGAAUAGGCUGAUAUUAAUGUUGGCAUUGUGCAUCCUAAAUAUUGGAAUGCAGAAUGAUUAUUCUUGCUCUAGGUCAGUGGUAUAACAUUUGCACUGCAUGGAAAAGGUUCCAGGUUCAAUCCAUGGUACCACCAGGCAGGGCUAGAAGAAAGCCCUUUCUGAAACCCUGGAAAGUCAUUGUCAGUCAGUGUAAGCAGUAUUAAAGUAUUUUUAAUCUUUGUUGGAAGCUGCUCAGAGUGGCUGGGGAAACCCAGCCAGAUGGGUGGGGUACAAAUAAUAAAUUACUACUAUUACUAACAUAGAUGGACCAAUGAUCUGACUGAGUAUAAGGCAGCUUCUGGAAUGAACCUGAUUUUUAAAAACAAAUGUCUUAUAUACUGUUUACACUGAGUUAUAUCUACAAGAAAAGGGACGUGGGUGGCGCUGUCGAUUAAAUCACAAAGCCUAGGGCUUGUCGAUCAGAAGGUUGGCGGUUCGAAUCCCCAUGCUUGGUCCCUGCUCCUGACAACCUAGCAGUUCGAAAGCACAUCAAACUGCAAGUAGAUAAAUAGGUACCACUCUUGCGGGAAGGUAAACGGCGUUUCCAUGCGCUGCUCUGGUUCACCAGAAGCGACUUAGUCAUUCUGGCCACAUGACCCGGAAGCUGUACGCCGGCUCCCUUGGCCAAUAAAGCGAGAUGAGCGCCGCAACCCCAGAGUCGGCCACGACUGGACCUUUACCUUUUAUAUAUACAAGGCGGCCUUUAGCCAGAACACUAAAAAUGCUUUUCGCAUUUCCUGACACAGCAAUGUGAAUGAUUAAAAACCUACUUUGGUUACAAUGUAUAUUAAUGGCUCCUUUAUACUCUCCGCCCCACAUUUACAUGUGCACACAAAUAGCAAUAAGGAGUUGGAAAGUGUUUUUAGCAUUAUGUAUGAUAACAUCCUGCCCCUGCUGUGUUGCGUUUUUUUAUGAGAAAAACAAACACAGCUCUAAGUUCUUGACACUUGCAAUUUGUCAAGAAGUUUCCUUGUUGAAAUCCAUUUUCUGUUUUUCAAUCCCAAUACCAGGAAAAGCACUUGGAGGAAAAAUAAAUGAUGUCCUUUCCCAUAUCCUUUUGUUGUCGUUGUAAAGACACAUACUUUCUCUUGCUCACACACACACUAAAACAUACCAACAUCUCAGUGUGUAUUCAGUAUAAGUUAUGUUAUCACAGAUGCCCUGCCUUCCAUUAGCAUGGUUCCCAGAAGACCAUCUGCUUGGCUUUUCAAAAAGUGAUCAAAAAUGUAUUUCCCACCCCUGCCCACUCUUUCUAGCUAGACAGAGGACCCCAAUGGUGUGUGAGGUAAUGCAGGAGUGAAAACUGCUGCAAAAAAAGAGGGAAAUGUGCCAGUUCUCUCACUUCAAAUCAGAGAUUGAUACUCCUUCAUGGGUGAGUAUUUGCAUUCCAGUUCCUGUUGUGCACACUGCUAGAUCAUGUCCCCCAAAUUAAGUGUAAAAUUAAUAUAACUAGUGAGCUUUCUUUCUUUAUCCUCUGCUUAAAUAUCAGAGGGGCCUUCAGCUGUGACAAAAUGUUUUAAGAGGGUUAUAAAAUGAGUGCCACAGAGCAGUUAAAGUUACCCAAAGAUGGCAUUUGGCAGGUGCCAAAAGCAAGUGUGUUGCAUUAGUCUGUCACUUACAGUUUAUGUGCCACUUACACCUCCAUUUGUCACCAGCUAAAUCCAACCCACUUAUAUUGAAGGUGAUUUGGUUUUUAUCUAUGUGUUGACUCUCAGUAUGGGACAGUUACCUUUCCAUGUCAAAAAAACCCACACACACAACAGGAUAGAUGUGAGUAUUUGAAAUACUGUCCUGAUCAUUGUGUCAGCAAGUUUACUCCAUGUAAAGGAGGGUUUAUUUUUUAAGGUGUUUAAAAAUCAGCUCGCACAGCUGACAAGAUGCAACAAAUAUCAUUAACAGAAGGAAUUUUGGCUGGUGUACCAUUUCCUACCAUUGUAGCUUGAUGACAGCCUUCCACUAAAAUUUCCUAAGGAGACAACAGGAACACUGAUCUCAGUUGCAUUAGGUCAUCUGAAUAUAUUUAUUCCACAAAUCUCUUGCACAGCUUUAAAAAGGGGGUGACAUACCCCAUCCGUAUGUAUGUGUGUGCUACAAAGAGAUUUAAGAUGAUGAUGUGGCAAGCUUGCGUUGUUAACCAGUCCUUCCCAUCACUACUGUUCCACCAUAGAAGGCAGCCUCCCAGGAUGUUUUUGUUUGUAUGUUUUAAAAAAACAGCAGAAAGAAACACACAGCAGUGUGCAACCUGCAGUUUGACACUUAUAAUGUAUAAAUUGCACAUUCCACUCUGUUUAUAUUGUUUCUGGUAAUUCAAGAUCAUAAUUUGCAUUUCAAUCAAAAUCACUACCCACUUUUCACUAUUCAAAUCAUGUUCCCUUUAAGCCAUUUAUGCCUAGUGACAGCAAAUUUAAAAAAUAUAUACAGAUGUUAUCAAUGUAGUUCUAGCUUAGAAACAUUUUAUAAAUCGUGUCUUGAGAAGAGAGCAGAACUUAUUGAUUACUCAUCUAUAUCACUCUGUGCACCUUGUGGCAAAAUGCUGGCUUCUGAAGAACUUUGUUCACCACAUGAUAUUAUCUGUCAUCCAUCUUAAUGCCUUGUGCCAAAGUGUCUGUGACGGAACAAAAUAAGCACCUGAUCACAAUUCCGCUCCACAGGUUUUGGCGUAAAUAUAGGAAGCAGGAACAAUGCCACAAUCCAAUGGUAUUGCAGGCAGUGCCUAUUCCAACAUUACAAGCAGAAACAAAUGCUUCCUCUCACAACAAAUUCUCUACUUCACUGGAGCCAAGAAAAUGGGAUAGAAGAGCAUUGUUUGAGUUCUUAUUGCUGUGCUCAUCAAAGAGAUUGACUCUCCUCCAUCAGCAAGAUGAAGCACUUCUGUGGUAGGUGUACUCUUCAGACCAGCUCUUCAGCAGUUCUAGAAAAUUGCAAAAGGAAUAUAAACGUGUAUUUCUUCAAGAGCUAGUCAGACAGGGGAAAUUAAACAAGAUCCCUCAAGAAGCCGAGAGAAAGCCAAGGGAGAAGCAGAGAAAUGGAGAGCAUCGCCAAG